GCUUCCUGUCACAGAGCAUCACCUGAGCAGGCUUCACUGGGUGAGCUGACUGGUUGCAGGAGCAGGAACAGUUCCAGAACAAGUCAUGACACUCACCACCCAGGAGUGGAGUUAUGCAUCAUAUGGUGAAAACAUCCCAGCAAGAAGGCGAGGCGUCAUGAAGAGGCUGGUGGGCGCUGUGCUGGGGCUUCUGUGUGCCCAGGUUUGCUGUGUGACAGGGGAGGAUGUGGAGCAGAGUCCACCAGUCCUGAUUGUCCCGGAGGGAGCCCCCUCCACGCUGUGGUGCAGUUUUUCUAGCUCUCUGCCCAAUGUGCACUGGUAUCGUCAGAACCCUGGGAGCCGCCUCAUCCACCUGUUUUACGUUGCUUCAGGGAUGAAGCACGAUGGAAGAUUCAGUGCCACAGCAUUCGCUAAAGAACGCCGCAGCUCCUUGAACAUUUCCUCCUCCCAGACCGCAGACUCAGCCACUUACUUCUGUGCUGUGAGCACAGUGCUCCCCGGGCACCUGCAGCCUGAACACAAACCCUCAGCGAGCUCGGCCCCCUCCAGCCACAGUCUCACCGUGAGGCCCCACACUCAUGUGUAG
Vicugna pacos (alpaca) is the source of this 586-nucleotide non-coding RNA. The record is from the annotation of a RefSeq genome assembly. Lineage: Eukaryota; Metazoa; Chordata; Mammalia; Artiodactyla; Camelidae.